RNAcentral lists this ribosomal RNA (493 nucleotides) under uncultured bacterium. RNAcentral describes it as "partial 16S ribosomal RNA". It matches the Rfam family "Bacterial small subunit ribosomal RNA", at positions 28 to 507 of the family's 1533-position model. The record is from RNAcentral.
GACGAACGCUGGCGGCGUGCUUAACACAUGCAAGUCGAACGGUGAAGGGACCGGUUUUUGCUGGUUCCGGAUGAGUGGCGAACGGGUGAGUAACACGUGAGUAACCUGCCCCCUUCUUCUGGAUAACCGCAUCAAAGUGUGGCUAAUACGGGAUAUUCUGCGCCUGCUGCAUGGUGGGUGUGGGUAAGGUAUUGUUUCGUUGGGGGAUGGGCUCGCGGCCUAUAAGCUUGUUGGUGGGGUGAUAGCCUACCAAGGCGGUGACGGGUAGCCGGCCUGAGAGGGUAGACGGUCAGAGUGGGACUGAGGCACGGUCCAGACUGCUACGGGGGGCAGCAGUGGAGAGGAGGGCACAGUGGGCGCAAGCGUGAAGCAGCGAGGCGGCGGGAGGGGUGGAGGCCUUCGGGUUGUAAACCUCUUUCGCCAGUGAAGCACGCCUGUCCCUUAUGUGGGUGGGGUGACGGUAGCUGGAUAAGAAGCGCCGGCUAACUACGUG